Molecule: long non-coding RNA, 3665 nt
Organism: Antechinus flavipes (yellow-footed antechinus)
Lineage: Eukaryota; Metazoa; Chordata; Mammalia; Dasyuromorphia; Dasyuridae
Exons: 2
Source: RefSeq, a predicted model, not a curated record
CCGUUCCUAACUAUGAGAAGACUUCUGGGAUUUUUUUCGGUCUAGCCAGCCUCACCUUUGGCCCUCGGAGGCUGGUUUACAGCGACCUGGAGGUCUAAGAUGAGGGGCAAUGAAGCGGCAGUGUGACGGGAUCCAUCCUGGGAUCAUCCUGGAAACGUUCCAUUUUGCCUUUUUAGCAAGGUAAAGAGCAACAAUGUAGAUCCUGGAGGAACUGGAGUAAUUGUUUGGCCAAUAAAAUGUGCUCUUGCUCUCUGUCUUCUAUUCACUUUCUUCCUUCCUUCCUUCACUCCUUCCCUACUCUUCCUGAUCUGGAAGGAUGACCUCUCCCAAGCAACUAUUUGGGUAGUGAACCACACCUACCUAGACCCCACGCCCAGGUACUGAUGGUCAAGGGAGACUCGGUGAGCCCCUUCUUAACCUUAUUCCUUCUAGGGAGAAAGGUUAUGUGAGCUGGAAUGGCACACUUGGUUCCCAUACCACCUUCUCUCCCAGCCAUGAAAAGGAGGGGGCUGGCAGAAGCGAGAGGUGCUAAGAACCUCCCCAGGGGUAGCUCAGGCCCUGGGCCAGGACUGUUGUGGGAGAACAAUACCACUGGGUCAAGUAUGGUCAGGAAAUGAUGCAAAACUCUUCCUCUGUCCUGCUUGAGAACCUGGAUAAAAGGAAAUUGGGAGGCUGGCCCCACCUAAACAGUGACUACCCAGACUCAAAGGCCUUCACAUUUCUUUGUUGUCUUUGGUGAAGCAGAAAGUUAAAACUGCAGUAAAAGUAGUGAGUCAGGUAAAUGCCCUUUGGAUCUAAGGUUUGAAAAAACAAACAAACAAAUACUGUUCUUACAACAAUUCUAUGAGAGAGAGAUUACAAAUACAGGACCCAUGUUACCGAUGAGAAGAGGGGCUUUGAUAUAUAUAUCUGGACGCUGUAGUCAGUAAAUAUCUGAAGAUUCAGGUCUGUAUCUAACUCUAGCCUGCAGUUAAACCUGAGGAGAUUCUCCUGGGGUUUGCCGGACCAUUCUCUGAGUCAGCAGGUAACAGGUAUUAAAAAUGGGAUUAAUGCCUUCUUUUCCUCCCCACCAGCCUCUUCCCCAGUCAGUCAACAAGCUGCUAGGCACUGUACUAUAUUAGCCAUUACGAAGGUAAAAUAUGAAAUGAUCUCUGGCCUCAAGGAACUUAUAUUCUGUCAGGGGAAAUAAUAAAACACGUAUAUAUGUUUUAAAAUGACUACAGCAAAAUAUAAUCAGUAAAUAUUGGAUAAUAUGAUGGAGGGGAUGGGAAUGGAAAGUACUAGCUGUUUAGGGAAUUUGGAAAGGCCUCCGUUAAGAGGAGGUGCUUGAGCUGACCUUUAAAAGAAUCAAGAGACUCUUUAGAGACAAAGUUGAUGAGGGAAUGAGAAACAGCCUAGCAAGAACCUGGAGACAGAAAACAAAAUGUAUAUGAGGAGCUACAAUAAGUCAAUUUGGCUAGACAGUAAAGUACUUAAUGGGGAGUAACCUGCAAUAAACCUUAGAAAAGGUAGAUUGAAGCUAGCUAGUAGAAGACUUUAAAUGCCAGAGGAGUUUGUUCAUGUCCUGGAAGAAAAGGGUACCACUGGAACUUUUUGAGCAAAGGAAUGACAUGAUUAAACCUAUGCCUUAGGAAUAUUCCUUGAGCCAGUAUGUGGAGAAUGAUUUAGAAAAGGAAAAGACUUGAGCUGAGAAGACCACCGAGGAGGGUACUGUAGUGGUCUUGAGGGUCUCACCUAAGGGAAUAGCAAUGCGAGUGAAGAGAAGGAAACAGAUUCAAGAGACAGACGGUCAUACCUUGUUUAAAGUGACCCAAAGGCAUUUUCUCCAGAAAGACCCCUGCUAAAUUGAAGUGCUAAACAGCUGGGUCUACUACUAACCAUUAUCAUUAAUAAUAACACCAACAGUAAUAACAAUGAAUAGCAUUUAUGUAGCUCUUUAAGGUUUGCAAAGCAUUUUUACAGAUAAUUAUCUUAUCCUCAUAACAACCCUGAGAGCUAAAUGCUGGCAUUAUCCCUAGUAAAAUAAAGCACACAGUGACAUAAAGCCAGUAAGUAUCUGAGGCUCUGUUUGAACCCUGGUCAUCCUGAGCUCAGAGUCCAGCACCCUUUCCACUGCCUAGCUUCAUAUAGCCAGUUAUCUUUAGAUGGGAGUAGAAGGAAGGCAACAGGAAUUAACUAACUCUGAAGCUUGUCCUCCUAGAACAGGCCUCACUUGGUAAAAAGUCCUGGCUCCCAAGUAAACUGAUGAGUAACCUGAGAGCAAUUGGGUACAGAGAAAACUGAGAGAUGAUGGGAGAGCAUGGUGCUAAAAGAGAAAAUUAUCGACCUCCCAAUUAUGUCUUGGACUGGCAUUGCAGAGCUGAGGAGGAGGGAGUCUAACUUGUCCCAGUUUUUCAGAAUCAUAGAAAGACCUGGAUUAUUCUAGGACUGAUCUGAGGUUUGGGGCUAAUAAAGUCCAGGAUCCCAGAGGACUGCCCCAGGCUUAUUCAGAAUUAAACUUAAACUCCUAAAUAGACCCUGUCAUUAGCAUGGUUCCUUUUAGUUGUUCCUAUAGAGCAGAGCUUCUUAAACUUUUUCCACUCGUGACCCCGGUUCGAGAGAUUUUUAUGUGACACUCCUCCCCCCCCUCCCCCUCUCCCCCUCGGUGUAUUGGUAUAUAAAAUAGGUAUUCACAUCAAACAUUUAACAGGUAAUAAACCAUAAUUUCUCGAUCCCCACAUCCAGUAAUGAGAUUCCAUGUGGAGUUAUGACCUACUCCUUAAGAAGCUGGACUGAGAAUUUUGAAAAGAACAGAAGAAUUAGUCUGGUACAAAGGUCAUAGUUGGCUCCAGAAUUAGAAAGAAGACCUGAGUUAAAGUUCUUCCUCUGACAUACAUUGGCUGUGUGACUUUGAGCUCUUAAGUGUUCCAAUGAAAUCAUAGGUCUGACCAUGCUGUCCCUCUCCCUGAUACACCCCCUCCCCAAAUUAUCAUGGGACUAUCAUAAUUGAAGGGGAUCUCAGAGAUCUAGUUCAAUCCCCUCAUUUUUACAAAUAAGAAAAUUGAGGCUCAGAAAUGUGUUAUAAAUUCUUCAGUCACAGUUAGUUAGUGAGAGAGCUAGAACAAGUCACUAGUUUUCUAGAUUUCCUUUGGGGUCCUUUCCAUAACACUUAAGGGAAAGGGUACCCUGGUUCCUGAUCAGCCGUUAUCCUCACUCCCAGUCACUUAUCAAAAGCUUUGGUAAAGAUACAAUCCUCAUUCUAAAAAGUAUAUAAAACUUUGGAUAACAUCACCAACUGGAUUCAGAUCUGAUGGUUUCCCAUCCCAAUAGUUGCUUCUAUUUCCUUCUGGCUGAUUGUAUACAAGAAGGCUUCUUCCAGGCCAGUUGUACUCCACACAGUUCUUGGAGUAAUUCCUGGGGGCAGUCUAGCCAAGAUGCUUUGGAAAAUUUUCCUUUAUUUUUCUUAUAUAAAGGGUAUAAACCAGGCUUCUGGGGGCGGUGGGGAGGAGUUGGAUCUGAUUUGUGUCUGGUGACACAUCUCCCAUAGGGACUUGCUGGGAAUGAGAGGCCCUUCUCAUAUUCCCAUUUAUUAGGGUGGGUGGAUCUUCUUAAUGUGCAUUUACCUUCCUGAAUUUUCCAAGAUAUAUGUAGUAGGCACAUAAUAAAUGCUUGUGGAAUGAUUUGUA